AUUUCAACGUCUCGUUUCAGUAUAGACCCGAUAUAGCCGGGCUGUGCCUAGCCCACUUCUAGCCCAAUUAAACUUUAAUUUGGUUACAUGUGGUUUUUGACAAAAUAAUUUGUGAGAUGGAUGCUAUUUUAUCAUGUAAGCAAAGUUAACAGCGAUUACAAGGUAUUUCUUUUCAUUUCUUUAAAGUGUUUUAUGCAUCGUCUGUACGUAGUCAUAAUUUAGCUCAUAAAUAGACCGACUACGAAUAAACCACGUUUAGCCCAGAAAUAACCAUGAAUUUAAUUACAUGUUGUUUUGCCAAAAUUAUUUGUGAGAUGUAUGAUAUUUAAUAAUGUAAACAAAGUUCAAAGCAAUUAAGGUAUUUUGUUCCAUUUCUUUAAAGUGUUUUAUGCACCGUCUGUACUUAGCCACUAUUUAGCUUACAAAUAGACCGACUACGAAUAACCCACGUUUAGCCCAGAAAUAACCAUUAAUUUAAUUACAUGUUGUUUUGCCAAAAUGAUUUGUGAGAUGUAUGAUAUUUAAUCAUGUAAACAAAGUUCAAAGCGAUAAGGUAUUUUGUUUCAUUUCUUUAAAGUGUUUUAUACACCGUCUGUACUAGCCACUAUUUAGCUCACAAAUAGACCGACUACGAAUAACCCACGUUUAGCUCAGAAAUAACCAUUAAUUUAAUUACAUGUGGUUUUUGCCAAAAUAACUUGUAUGGUAUGUCAUUGUAAGCAAAGUUAACAGCGAUUACAAGGUUUGUUUAAUUUCUUUAAAGUGUUUUAUGCACCGUCGUACAUAUAGCCACUAUUUAGCUCAUAAAUAGACCGACUACGAACAAACCAUGUUUAGCCCAAAAUAACCUUGAAUUUAAUAAAAUUUUGUUUUUGCCAAAAUAACUUGCAAAAAUUAUGAUAUUUUAUCAGGCAUGCAAAGACACCAGUGAAUUUAAGAUGUUUGGUUUUAUUUAUCUUAUCUGAAUAUCUGCUGUCACGCAUAACAUUCAUUAUUUGACCGUAUUUCAAAGAUAAACAAAAUCCAGUUACAACUCCGAACCGCUAGAUGGCAGCAGUACACAAACACGGGGCCAAAUCUCACGAGAAAGAUUUCCGCUGUUUGAAAAGCAACAACAUCAGCGAGCAGCCACGAGGAAAGCAUGUACCACACUUGUUUGGUCUUGUGUCAAAGCUCUGCGAAACUGGAGGGAGAAACUUGAGAGACCGUGCCGGAAGAAUGCUGGACAGAGUUCACUAAAAUUCAUUAAUUUCAAAGUUCAACAUUAAUGGUGGUGGUCCACUGCAGAAGCAAGCAUUUGAAAAAACAUCUCUUCUCAGUUA
Paramisgurnus dabryanus is the source of this 1322-nucleotide non-coding RNA. NCBI's taxonomy places the organism in Eukaryota, Metazoa, Chordata, Actinopteri, Cypriniformes, Cobitidae. The record is from RefSeq and is a predicted model, not a curated record.